RNAcentral lists this ribosomal RNA (522 nucleotides) under uncultured archaeon. RNAcentral describes it as "bacterial SSU rRNA". It matches the Rfam family "Archaeal small subunit ribosomal RNA", at positions 325 to 849 of the family's 1478-position model. The record is from RNAcentral.
ACGGGGUGCAGCAGGCGCGAAAUCUUCACAAUGUGCGAAAGCACGAUGAGGGAAUCCCAAGUGCUAGCACGUAAGUGUUAGCUGUUUCUUAGUCUAAAAAACUGAGAGAGUAAGAGCUGGGUAAGACGGGUGCCAGCCGCCGCGGUAAUACCUGCAGCUCAAGUGGUGGCCGCUAUUAUUGGGCCUAAAACGUCCGUAGCCUGUUUAGUAAAUGCCUGGGUAAAUUGUGUAGCUUAACUAUACGAAUACCGGGUAGACUGCUAAACUUGGGACCGGGAGAGGCUAGAGGUACUCCUAGGGUAGAGGUGAAAUUCUGUAAUCCUAGGGGGACCACCAGUGGCGAAGGCGUCUAGCUAGAACGGGUCUGACGGUGAGGGACGAAGCCCUGGGGCGCGAACCGGAUUAGAUACCCGGGUAGUCCAGGGUGUAAACGCUGCUUGCUUGAUGUUAGUUGGGCUCCGAGCCCAACUAGUGUCGGAGAGAAGUUGUUAAGCAAGCUGCCUGGGAAGUACGUCGCAAGAC